This 190-nucleotide non-coding RNA is filed under the name Anaerobacillus alkalilacustris. The record is from RNAcentral. Lineage: Bacteria; Bacillati; Bacillota; Bacilli; Caryophanales; Bacillaceae.
UAUAUAUCGGAAUGUAAAGGUGUCUUUUCAGACUUAAUAGGGAAUUCGGUUUAAAGCCGAAGCUGUCCCCGCAACUGUAAGUGCUGACGAACUGAGACAACCACUGUAUAAAAACGACUUUUUUUACGGGAAGGCUCAGGUAGUAGGAUGAAGCAUUAGCCAGGAGACCUGCCAUUCAUUCCAAAGAUUU